This 262-nucleotide ribosomal RNA is filed under the name uncultured bacterium. RNAcentral describes it as "partial 16S ribosomal RNA". It matches the Rfam family "Bacterial small subunit ribosomal RNA", at positions 793 to 1055 of the family's 1533-position model. The record is from RNAcentral.
GUCCACGCCGUAAACGAUGUCUACUAGCUGUUCGUGACCUUGUGUCGUGAGUAGCGCAGCUAACGCAUUAAGUAGACCGCCUGGGGAGUACGGUCGCAAGAUUAAACUCAAAUGAAUUGACGGGGCCCGCACAAGCGGUGGGGCAUGUGGUUUAAUUCGACGCAACGCGAAGAACCUUACCUACUCUUGACAUCUACAGAAGACUGCAGAGAUGCGGUUGUGCCUUUCGGGAACUGUAAGACAGGUGCUGCAUGGCUGUCGU